Drosophila pseudoobscura is the source of this 975-nucleotide long non-coding RNA. RefSeq lists it as uncharacterized. Lineage: Eukaryota; Metazoa; Arthropoda; Insecta; Diptera; Drosophilidae. The record is from RefSeq and is a predicted model, not a curated record. The transcript has 2 exons.
AUAGCUAGCAUUUUUGUUAACGAAAUAGCUUUUGAAAAUUUACAUAUACCCAUAUAAGCCCAAAAACCAUUUAUGGUUUAUACAUAUAACCAUAGAUAAGAGCUUUUCAAUCGGGAUUUUAAAAGGAGAAGUAAUAUUAAAUACAAUUGAUUACUUUUUAUAAGCGUAAAUUCAUUGUACUAUUUUAUAAAAUUUUUCAAACGAAAAAAGGAGAAGGCGAGAGAGAGAAUUGGGGAGGCAAUAAGUUUAGCGGCGACGACCUUCCCAGAACUUCCAGCUUCCACAUGUGCCUGUCAGAAAGGAAACCCAAUCACAUAAAUCAAAGAAAACAAUAAAAAAAAUGGGUAAAGAACUUUUUAAUGAUUUUAACUAUUAACCAUAAAAGCCUUUAAAUUCCAUUAAUAAUCGUAUUGAUGCGAUCCACGAACAUUCGAGCCCACCUCCAAAGCGGCGAAUGUCAGUACCAUCAAGAGCAGAGCCUUUUUUUCUGUUAAUAGAAAAGAGUAUAAUGAUUAUGAUUAUCAAUUCGGAUUCUCAACUCGUACCCAGAUAAUGGCUGCUUCUAUUUAGUGUAUUUAUUGAGUGCUAUUAGCCAGGAUGCAAUAACCCGAUUACGAACAUUCGAGCCCACCUCCAAAGCGACGAAUGUCAGUACCAUCAAGAGCAGAGCCUUUUUUUCUGUUUAUAGAAAAGAGUAUAAUGAUUAUGAUUAUCAAUUCGGAUUCUCAACUCGUACCCAGAUAAUGGCUGCUUCUAUUUAGUGUAUUUAUUGAGUGCUAUUAGCCAGGAUGCAAUAACCCGAUUCCAGUUCCAGUUCCAGAGGGAGUUGAAAUGAAUGUUUAACAAUUGUGUGUAACCAGCAAAGCUCCAGCAGCAGCUACCUUUCCUUUUCUGUGUCUUCUUUAUUCUGCGUUAUACCAAAAUCAAAAAACAACAAACCUGUGGAUGUGGAUAUGGAUUUACGGCUAUAUCCUG